This 218-nucleotide long non-coding RNA is filed under the name Carica papaya (papaya). Its description in RNAcentral is "long non-coding RNA (CPAP_LNC003818)". The record is from RNAcentral. Lineage: Eukaryota; Viridiplantae; Streptophyta; Magnoliopsida; Brassicales; Caricaceae.
UGGUGGUUUAUUAUAAUUUUUCUUAACCUAUUCUUUCUCCACAUAUAUACAUAUAGACAUAUAUGUAUGCGUCACGUGAGAUGGGGGGCAUUAACCAAGAAAUAUCUCACAUAAGCACGUGCAUGGGCAAGUUAAGAUUAGUGUGAUUAGUGGAAUCAUUACAUGGAUCAAUGAUUGAUUAGUUAUAUAAACCUUGAAAAAGUCGACGUUAAUUACUU